Long non-coding RNA from Glycine soja, 539 nucleotides. RefSeq lists it as uncharacterized. The transcript has 2 exons. NCBI's taxonomy places the organism in Eukaryota, Viridiplantae, Streptophyta, Magnoliopsida, Fabales, Fabaceae. The record is from RefSeq and is a predicted model, not a curated record.
AACGCAAUAUACUAGUGUUAUAGUUUGCCUAAACAAAUUCAAGAAUCAAAGCUUGUAUUUGUGUUGUGCAAAAUGACUCAUAAUAUCUUUAGCAUAAUUCUUUUCCUUGUUCUUAUUUCUCAAGGUUAUAGUCAAUGUCUCUUGAGUGAUAUAUCUGUAAGUCAAAUUCAAACAGGAAUUAAAGUGCAAGGAAAGCUAGAAUGGAGUGUGACCAUCACCAACAAGUGUCCAUGUGUUCAAAAGAAUGUGAUAUUAAAUUGUACUGGAUUCCAAUCCAUUGAACGCAUAAAUCCUUCACUUUUGAGGGUCUCCCAUGGACAUUGUCUUGUUAAUGCUGGCCAAUCUAUCUACGGAGAUGCUAUCAAAUUUAAAUAUGCUUGGAACAAACAAUUUCCAUUAAAACCAAUCUCCUCAGAUAUUUCUUGUUCUUAAACGUAGAUAUAAGAGAUUUUCUCUUAUAAACUUUGAUGUCAUUUGUUGAAGCUUGGUUUACAAGCAUUGCAAUUAUUGAAUAAAACAUGAAAUAUAGGUACAUUGAA